AAUGAGUUGCCUGAUCAAAGGGUUAUUUUGAUGUAAUAAAUUAAGUAGUAAAUACACUCAUUG
This 63-nucleotide transfer RNA is filed under the name Uzeldikra longiprocessa. RNAcentral's name for it is "tRNA-Ile". Lineage: Eukaryota; Metazoa; Arthropoda; Insecta; Hemiptera; Cicadellidae. The record is from RNAcentral.